Molecule: transfer RNA, 73 nt
Filed under: Ursus americanus (American black bear)
Lineage: Eukaryota; Metazoa; Chordata; Mammalia; Carnivora; Ursidae
Also listed under: 2 other names
Rfam family: tRNA
About the family: Transfer RNA (tRNA) molecules are approximately 80 nucleotides in length.
Source: Rfam by way of RNAcentral
GCCUGGCUGGCUCAGUGGGUAGAGCACGCGACUCUUGAUCUCGGGGUCGUGAGUUCAAGCCUCACGCUGGGUG